AAAAAGAUAAGCUAAUUAAGCUACCGGGCUCAUACCCCGCUCAUAAAGGCUCUAACCCUUUUCUUUUUA
RNAcentral lists this transfer RNA (69 nucleotides) under Trigonopterus daun. RNAcentral's name for it is "tRNA-Met". It matches the Rfam family "tRNA". From Rfam's summary of the family: Transfer RNA (tRNA) molecules are approximately 80 nucleotides in length. Their secondary structure includes four short double-helical elements and three loops (D, anti-codon, and T loops). Further hydrogen bonds mediate the characteristic L-shaped molecular structure. tRNAs have two regions of fundamental functional importance: the anti-codon, which is responsible for specific mRNA codon recognition, and the 3' end, to which the tRNAs corresponding amino acid is attached (by aminoacyl-tRNA synthetases). tRNAs cope with the degeneracy of the genetic code in two manners: having more than one tRNA (with a specific anti-codon) for a particular amino acid; and 'wobble' base-pairing, i.e. permitting non-standard base-pairing at the 3rd anti-codon position. The record is from RNAcentral. Lineage: Eukaryota; Metazoa; Arthropoda; Insecta; Coleoptera; Curculionidae.